AAGUCGUAACAAGGUUUCCGUAGGUGAACCUGCGGAAGGAUCAUUAAAAGAGCAACGGUCCCCCGGGGCCCGACCUCCCACCCUUGAAGUCACAAAACACCGUUGCCUCGGCGGCGCGCCGGGCCCGCCCCCACGGGGUGAGGACCCUCGCCCGCCGGAGGACAGUCCGAACACUCCGAUGAACAGUCCGUCCGAGUCAGAUCAUACAAUAAUGAAUCAAAACUUUCAACAACGGAUCUCUUGGUUCUG
Molecule: unclassified non-coding RNA, 249 nt
Filed under: air metagenome
Description: partial contains small subunit ribosomal RNA, internal transcribed spacer 1, and 5.8S ribosomal RNA
Rfam family: Eukaryotic small subunit ribosomal RNA (bases 1-46)
Source: RNAcentral